GCUGCGCCUGGCCGGGGAGAGGAUGCUGACAGAGGGAGUCCCCUCCCUGGCCUUCUGCGGGCAGAGGUUGAGGGAAGGAGAAGGUUCUGGAGGGGAUUGCAAGGGGAGAGCCUAGAGUGCUGGAACCUUCUCCCACCAGUGCACAUUCUACCGCCUCCUUGGUGAAGUCGUUGCUAACUUGGACUUCUAAGGCCUUCCCAUGCCUGACCUGGCCUCACUGUGUCAACACUAAAGGCUGGAUGAAGGGUAUCUCCACUGCACCCCAUGCCACUCUGCCCAGGCCUAGAGCUGUACAGAGGCGUGGCCCUUAGAGGAGACGAAGAUGGGGCCCAGCUGGAAGGGGCUGAGAGGUCAGCUGGUCGACCAGUCCCUUCUCAAAGAAGCCAACUGGAGCUCAGAGAGGUGGAACAGCCAAACCACACGGGACAUUGAGGCUGAGUCAGGACCAGAAUCACACAGGUCUCGAGACCCCCACACCCAGAGGCAGCUUCAAGAGGCAGUUGCUGCUCAGGAUGGAAGCUUCUCACCGGGAGCCUUGUGCAGCCUGACUGAAUCCAGCCCAGGCCCUGGAUGAGGGGGCAGAGCCAGGCAGGUUCCCAUCCCCCCUCCCUGCUGUACUGUGGUGGACACUCGAAUCCAUAAUGGCUUAUAGCUCUGGGCUGGGAUCUUUCUUAUCAAAACCCUCAGAACUGCCCAGCUCUGCCUGGAGGGACGGUAUUCUAUCGUGUUAGUAAGUGUGCCACUUACUAUGGUGUGCUGUGUGAUCUUAGUCAAGAAACUUAACUACUCUGUGCCUCUCUAAACUCAUCUGUGAAGGAAGGGGUGGUGGAUAACCUACUUUAUCACAUAUGGUCAUUAUGGGAUGAAAUAAGCCCCUCAGUGUCUGGAAUACAGUAAUGGUAAA
Molecule: long non-coding RNA, 904 nt
Organism: Molossus molossus (Pallas's mastiff bat)
Lineage: Eukaryota; Metazoa; Chordata; Mammalia; Chiroptera; Molossidae
Exons: 3
Source: RefSeq, a predicted model, not a curated record